RNAcentral lists this ribosomal RNA (413 nucleotides) under uncultured bacterium. RNAcentral's name for it is "bacterial SSU rRNA". It matches the Rfam family "Bacterial small subunit ribosomal RNA", at positions 505 to 916 of the family's 1533-position model. The record is from RNAcentral.
GUGCCAGCAGCCGCGGUAAUACGUAGGGUGCGAGCGUUAAUCGGAAUUACUGGGCGUAAAGCGUGCGCAGGCGGCGCCAUAAGACAGCUGUGAAAUCCCCGGGCUUAACCUGGGAACUGCGGUUGUGACUGUGGUGCUUGAGUGCGGCAGAGGGGGGUGGAAUUCCACGUGUAGCAGUGAAAUGCGUAGAGAUGUGGAGGAACACCGAUGGCAAAGGCAGCCCCCUGGGUUGACACUGACGCUCAUGCACGAAAGCGUGGGGAGCAAACAGGAUUAGAUACCCUGGUAGUCCACGCCCUAAACGAUGCGAACUAGGUGUUGGGGAAGGAGACUUCUUUAGUACCGUAGCUAACGCGUGAAGUUCGCCGCCUGGGGAGUACGGUCGCAAGAUUAAAACUCAAAGGAAUUGACGG